This is a non-coding RNA of Oryza glumipatula, 193 nucleotides long. Lineage: Eukaryota; Viridiplantae; Streptophyta; Magnoliopsida; Poales; Poaceae. The record is from Rfam.
AAAAAGGCAAACCAUGAGUUUCCGUGUCUUCGUCUUAUAUGAAGUUUUUUUAUAAUUCGUAUUUUCAUUGUUAUUAGAUGAUAAAAUAUGAUUAAUAUUUUAUACGUGACUUGUCUUUUUAAUUUUUUUCAUAAUUUUUUCAAAUAAGACGGACGGUCAAACGUUGGGCACGGAAACCAGGGAUUGUCUUUUU